GACGAACGCUGGCGGCGCGCCUAACACAUGCAAGUCGAACGAGCGAGAGAGAGCUUGCUUUCUCGAGCGAGUGGCGAACGGGUGAGUAACGCGUGAGGAACCUGCCUCAAAGAGGGGGACAACAGUUGGAAACGACUGCUAAUACCGCAUAAGCCCACGGCUCGGCAUCGAGCGGGGGGAAAAGGAGCAAUCCGCUUUGAGAUGGCCUCGCGUCCGAUUAGCUAGUUGGUGGGGUAACGGCCCACCAAGGCGACGAUCGGUAGCCGGACUGAGAGGUUGAACGGCCACAUUGGGACUGAGACACGGCCCAGACUCCUACGGGAGGCAGCAGUGGGGAAUAUUGCACAAUGGGGGAAACCCUGAUGCAGCGACGCCGCGUGGAGGAAGAAGGUCUUCGGAUUGUAAACUCCUGUUGUUGGGGAAGAUAAUGACGGUACCCAACAAGGAAGUGACGGCUAACUACGUG
This 466-nucleotide ribosomal RNA is filed under the name uncultured bacterium. RNAcentral's name for it is "partial 16S ribosomal RNA". It matches the Rfam family "Bacterial small subunit ribosomal RNA", at positions 28 to 507 of the family's 1533-position model. The record is from RNAcentral.